GUCUCUCCGAUCCAACCCAUGCUGAUCUCUCUCGCUUCCUUUCCCCGCCUCCUCCGUCUGUCUGUCUGUCUGUCUCUGCAGAAAAUUCAGCUGCAAAUUCACCUCCGCUUCACGCCCUGCGCAGAGAGAGAGAGAGAGAGAGAGAGAGAGAGAGCGGCGACGCAGUUGUGUGCGCGCACAAGCUUUCGCCGUUUCCUUUUCUCUCUCGGACAGAAAGGGGUCUUUUCUUC
Molecule: long non-coding RNA, 230 nt
Filed under: Eucalyptus grandis
Lineage: Eukaryota; Viridiplantae; Streptophyta; Magnoliopsida; Myrtales; Myrtaceae
Description: long non-coding RNA (EGRA_LNC003723)
Source: RNAcentral